RNAcentral lists this non-coding RNA (26 nucleotides) under Rattus norvegicus (Norway rat). The record is from RNAcentral. Lineage: Eukaryota; Metazoa; Chordata; Mammalia; Rodentia; Muridae.
UUGUAGUGUGGGCCUCAAGUUGGACC